UACAGAGGUCUCAAGCGUUGUUCGGAUUCAUUGGGCGUAAAGGGUGCGUAGGCGGCGCGGUAAGUCGGGUGUGAAAUCUCCGGGCUUAACUCGGAACGGUCAGCUGAUACUGCUUUGCUAGAGUGCAGAAGGGGCAAUCGGAAUUCUUGGUGUAGCGGUGAAAUGCGUAGAUAUCAAGAGGAACACCUGAGGUGAAGACGGGUUGCUGGGCUGACACUGACGCUGAGGCGCGAAAGCUAGGGUAGCAAACGGG
RNAcentral lists this ribosomal RNA (253 nucleotides) under uncultured bacterium. RNAcentral describes it as "partial 16S ribosomal RNA". It matches the Rfam family "Bacterial small subunit ribosomal RNA", at positions 524 to 776 of the family's 1533-position model. The record is from RNAcentral.